UUUGAAAACAUAAAAGUUAAUGU
This 23-nucleotide non-coding RNA is filed under the name Arabidopsis thaliana (thale cress). The record is from RNAcentral. Lineage: Eukaryota; Viridiplantae; Streptophyta; Magnoliopsida; Brassicales; Brassicaceae.